UCCAUAAUAGUCAUUUCUAUCCAUAUGCAGCACUUUGAGUCCAUCGACGGAGAGUAAACCGCUGAGUAUGCAUUCUUUGAGACCAGUUCCAAGAACAACGACGUCGUACUCUUCAUCCAUGUAUGCAAGAAGGGAAGAUGAAAACAAAAAUGCAGAGAGAGAAGUGAAAGAGAUCAGAAAGAAAGAAGAAUGGUUGUGGAUGGAGAAGAAAGAAAGCAGGCCUAUAGCUAGCGGGAACUCCCUUCUUCUUCGGUUAAUUCCG
RNAcentral lists this unclassified non-coding RNA (262 nucleotides) under Hevea brasiliensis (rubber tree). The record is from RNAcentral. Lineage: Eukaryota; Viridiplantae; Streptophyta; Magnoliopsida; Malpighiales; Euphorbiaceae.